This 830-nucleotide ribosomal RNA is filed under the name uncultured bacterium. Its description in RNAcentral is "bacterial SSU rRNA". It matches the Rfam family "Bacterial small subunit ribosomal RNA", at positions 1 to 824 of the family's 1533-position model. The record is from RNAcentral.
GCUCCUGCAGUUUGCUUAAGCGAGACGAGUCGCGAAGAUUUAUAAUUUUCGCAUCGUUAUCGAAGUGAUGAGUAAUCAUUAUUCCCAACACCAAGGCUGGUAGAGGGGUGCUUAAGUAAAGCGCUGGAGUACACGAGCGGCGGACGGCUGAGUAACGCGUACGAACGUACCCCAAACUGAGGGAUAAGCACCAGAAAUGGUGUCUAAUACCGCAUGUGCUCUAAGGAGUAAAGCUUCGGCGGUUUGGGAACGGCCUGCGUACGAUUAGAUAGUUGGUAAGGUAAUGGCUUACCAAGUCAGUGAUCGUUAGCUGGUCUGAGAGGAUGAUCAGCCAGACUGGGACUGAGAACGGCCCAGACUCCUACGGGAGGCAGCAGUAGGGAAUUUUCCACAAUGGGCGAAAGCCUGAUGGAGCAACGCCGCGUGCAGGAUGAAGGCCUUCGGGUCGUAAACUGCUUUUAUAUGUGACGAAUAUGACGGUAGCAUAUGAAUAAGGAUCGGCUAACUCCGUGCCAGCAGCCGCGGUCAUACGGAGGAUCCAAGCGUUAUCCGGAAUUACUGGGCGUAAAGAGUUGCGUAAGUGGCACAGUGUGUCUGUAUUGAAAUCGUGUGGCUCAACCAUAUAUACAUUACAGAAACUGCUCAGCUAGAGGGCGAGAGAGGUUACUAGAAUUCCUUGUGUAGGAGUGAAAUCCGUAGAUAUAAGGAGGAAUACCGAUGGCGUAGGCAGGUAACUGGCUCGUCCCUGACACUAAAGCACGAAAGCGUGGGGAGCAAACGGGAUUAGAUACCCCGGUAGUCCACGCCGUAAACGAUGGAUGCUAGCUGUU